GGAUAUGAGGAUGAUCUGACUGUGACAUCUGUCACGUUAGCGACUGCCAGGGUUGGUUUGGCCGAUGCGGCUGGCUAGGCAGCUGUCCCCUUUUCCUUUCUCGCUACUCCCCGUGACUCCUGUUCUCUCUAUUCUGUAUCACGCCAUGUGUUUUUAAAAUUAAAUUUUCUUUCUUCAAAUUUAUUUGAUUUAAAAAAUACUUUAAAUGUGUGGAAAGAUUGGCUCCAGCUAAUUAACAUAUGCAUAACUUCCUUAUCCUUUAUGUGAUGGGAACAGGUAAUAUCU
This 285-nucleotide small nuclear RNA is filed under the name Tupaia belangeri chinensis (Chinese tree shrew). Its description in RNAcentral is "Tupaia chinensis (Chinese tree shrew) 7SK RNA". It matches the Rfam family "7SK RNA". From Rfam's summary of the family: 7SK was discovered as an abundant small nuclear RNA in the mid-70s but a possible function has only recently been suggested. Two independent studies have found that 7SK RNA binds the CDK9/cyclin T complex (known as elongation factor P-TEFb). P-TEFb activates transcription by phosphorylating the C-terminal domain of RNA polymerase II. The record is from Rfam by way of RNAcentral. Lineage: Eukaryota; Metazoa; Chordata; Mammalia; Scandentia; Tupaiidae.